Chelonus insularis is the source of this 374-nucleotide long non-coding RNA. RefSeq lists it as uncharacterized. NCBI's taxonomy places the organism in Eukaryota, Metazoa, Arthropoda, Insecta, Hymenoptera, Braconidae. The transcript has 3 exons. The record is from RefSeq and is a predicted model, not a curated record.
AAACCAUUCAUCCAGUUUAAUUUAUUGCGGCGUGUAUUAUCUGAUUUCAUUUACAACACUGAGUUAUUUGAGCAAUAAACUAUCAUUAAAUUUCAAUCGGAAUUAUUUUAUUAUCAGUAAAUAAGGUCCGAAUAUCUUAUUUCAAAACGAUAAUUGUACUUUUUUGCCAGAUUGAAAUCAGCUUGACAGAAGUAUCAAAUUAUAAUCCUGAAUUGUCACGAACAGAUUUAUUAUCAAUAAGGUAAAUCUCUAUCACGAAGGCAUUAUGAGAAAUACUUAAAAUACGAGUAUUCUGCUUCCGAGCAGUCAGUUGAAAAUUAUUAUUAUCCUUUAUACGAAUAAACUGCUUCUGAGCAGCUAAUUUUUAAAUCAAU